RNAcentral lists this ribosomal RNA (876 nucleotides) under Acanthella pulcherrima. RNAcentral describes it as "eukaryotic LSU rRNA". The stretch from base 1 to 188 matches the Rfam family "Eukaryotic small subunit ribosomal RNA", at positions 1649 to 1831 of the family's 1831-position model. The record is from RNAcentral. Lineage: Eukaryota; Metazoa; Porifera; Demospongiae; Bubarida; Dictyonellidae.
GUCCCUGCCCUUUGUACACACCGCCCGUCGCUACUACCGAUUGAAUGGUUUAAUGAGAUCUUCGGAUUGGAUCCGUGGCGGUCGGCAACGGUCGCGACGGCAUUCGAGAAGUUGCUCUAAUUGUAUCAUUUAGGGGAAGUAAAAGUCGUAACAAGGUUUCCGUAGGUGAACCUGCGGAAGGAUCAUUACCGUGGCAGCGUUCAUCGCUGACCGUGCACCGUUGCGCUCGAGGGAGCCGGAGCGUGGCCCAACGUGUUGUUAUAUCGGGUCCAUUCGCUACAAAGCGAGCGAAUCUUCGCGGAUUUCUCCCUCGGGCGAGGGUUGGCCUGAGUUUUCGGUGUGAGAAGGGAGGCCAUUAAAGUCGGGGCCUCACUGCCCGUAAGCCGGCCGGGCAGUCUUUCCCGCGCCCCGUUUUUUUAAUUAAUUGCGUGUCCCGAGUUUUGGAGUGGCCAACAACCGUUACGUUGUUAGACCUUACAACUUCUAACGGUGGACCCCUCGGCUCGUGCAUCGAUGAAGAACGCAGCGAGCUGCGAUACGUAGUGUGAGUUGCAGAAUUCAGUGAAUCAUCGAGUCUUUGAACGCAAAUGGCGCUCCCGGUAAGGCCGGGAGCACGUCUGUCUGAGCGUCCGUUGUUUACGGUUGGGUCCCACUUUUUUCGGGGCUUGCUCUGAAAGUCGGUCAGUUGUGGCCGUCUUUUGAAGUAGCUUUUGCAGUCGCUGCGAUCGGUUGAGCUGCCUUGGCUGUCAGUCAGCACGCAACCGCUCUAGCGUUCUCUGCAAAGUGCCAAGUCGUUCGUUCCUGGACCUCAGAUCAGUCGAGACUACCCGCUGAAUUUAAGCAUAUCAAUAAGCGGAGGAAAAGAAACUAACCAGG